This 55-nucleotide ribosomal RNA is filed under the name Salamandra longirostris. Its description in RNAcentral is "partial 16S ribosomal RNA". Lineage: Eukaryota; Metazoa; Chordata; Amphibia; Caudata; Salamandridae. The record is from RNAcentral.
GUUAUAAUUCUAGCCACCAAACAUACCCAACAAUUCUAUUAACCAUUAAAAUUAA